Carassius gibelio (silver crucian carp) is the source of this 398-nucleotide long non-coding RNA. RefSeq lists it as uncharacterized. The record is from RefSeq and is a predicted model, not a curated record. Lineage: Eukaryota; Metazoa; Chordata; Actinopteri; Cypriniformes; Cyprinidae. The transcript is spliced from 2 exons.
AGAAGGAUGUAAACUUUCACAAAACUGCUACAAGUUUGGACGAACUUCAGCAUUGUUUUUAGCUACAUGAGAGAAGCGAAUUAUUUUCACUUGGCCUGCACUCAUACUAAUGUCCCGCCACAGAUAUUCAGGUGAAAGCAGUUUGCUGGGUUUGUUAUAAAGGAAAUACUUGUUUAAGUGAGAUUCCUCGUGCCAUAUAGCCUCAAUGGAGUUUGCAGCAUCAAUGUUCAUCUGCUCCCGGCAGGUUUUGGUGAGAUGAUGUACAUCUUCCAAUGAGCCACCAAAUGCAGCUCCAGUAAAAUAAUAAUCACCUUCCCCAGCUGGAAUAUAUGCUUGAGAUUCUGGUCUACGCUCAUAUGUGAAUUGAUUCCUCAGAGCAUCAAAGAACCAAGGAUGUA